Molecule: RNase P RNA, 372 nt
Filed under: Alphaproteobacteria bacterium
Lineage: Bacteria; Pseudomonadati; Pseudomonadota; Alphaproteobacteria
Description: RNase P RNA component class A
Rfam family: Bacterial RNase P class A
About the family: Ribonuclease P (RNase P) is a ubiquitous endoribonuclease, found in archaea, bacteria and eukarya as well as chloroplasts and mitochondria. Its best characterised activity is the generation of mature 5'-ends of tRNAs by cleaving the 5'-leader elements of precursor-tRNAs.
Source: RNAcentral
CAAGAGGGGCAGACAAUCGCUGGUCAAAGCUUUAAAGCAAUGACGAGAGGAAAGUCCGGACUUCACAGGAACAAAAUGACGGCUAACGGCCGCCCGGGGCAACCCGAGGGAUAGUGCCACAGAAAACAAACCGCCCUGCUAUAUGCAGAGUAAGGAUGAAACGGCGGGGUAAGAGCCCACCGCUUGACUGGUAACAGUUCAAGGCUUGGUAAACCCCAUUUGAAGCAAGACCAAGAAAAUGGCAGCGAUUUAUUUCGCAAGGUAUCGUUCCUGUACCGCCUGAUAGGUAGGUCGCCAGAAAGUUAUAGUAAUAUAGCUUCUAGAUGAAUGAUUGUCCUUUGACAAAAUCCGGCUUAUCGCCCCUCUUAUUUU